CCUCUGACCUGCAGUGCUACUGAGAUCCAUCGGCCGGCGAUCCUGAUGCUCAUCCCGGGAAACGUCUGGAAGAUUCGGCCCUUCAGAAGCUGCAGAGAAACAACACAGUUUGACUCACAUUAACGCUGUGUGAUGUUGUGAAUCGGGGCCAGUGUGUGUGUCUUGUGAAGCAGAAGGAAGCUCCAUGAAAAAUUUGGCAGGAAACCCAGAGACCCUCUCAAAUGAAAUGUAGAAAGAACACCGACCGACCCCUGACCUUUAACCUGACACCGCAUCAGAGUUUGCCAGCCUCGUCAGUACAGCACUGAACGCUGCUCUGUGUGUGUGUGUGUGUGUGUGUGUGCGGGAGAAAUCAUCAUCUGAUCCCAGAACAGCCUGAGAACACGAGUGUCGGAAGGAAACGGCGGAUGAAGAGUCUCUCUCUGUCAGAAGAGCCUGAACUGCAGAAAUACUGAGAGCCGACAC
Rhinichthys klamathensis goyatoka is the source of this 465-nucleotide long non-coding RNA. RefSeq lists it as uncharacterized. The transcript is spliced from 4 exons. Lineage: Eukaryota; Metazoa; Chordata; Actinopteri; Cypriniformes; Leuciscidae. The record is from RefSeq and is a predicted model, not a curated record.